This 618-nucleotide ribosomal RNA is filed under the name uncultured bacterium. RNAcentral describes it as "bacterial SSU rRNA". It matches the Rfam family "Bacterial small subunit ribosomal RNA", at positions 122 to 770 of the family's 1533-position model. The record is from RNAcentral.
GAACGUGCCCCAAAGUGAGGAAUAACUGCCCGAAAGGGUGGCUAAUGCCGCAUAUGAUCUUCGGAUUAAAGGAUUUAUCCGCUUUGGGAGCGGCCCGCGUUAGAUUAGGUAGUUGGUAGGGUAAUGGCCUACCAAGCCGACGAUCUAUAGCUGGUCUGAGAGGAUGAUCAGCCAGACUGGGACUGAGACACGGCCCAGACUCCUACGGGAGGCAGCAGUGAGGAAUCUUCCACAAUGGGCGAAAGCCUGAUGGAGCAACGCCGCGUGAAGGAUGAAGGCCCUCGGGUUGUAAACUUCUUUUAUAAGUGAAGAAUAUGACGGUAACUUAUGAAUAAGCACCGGCUAACUACGUGCCAGCAGCCGCGGUCAUACGUAGGGUGCAAGCAUUAUCCGGAGUGACUGGGCGUAAAGAGUUGCGUAGGUGGUUUGUUAAGCGAGUAGUGAAAUCAGGCGGCUCAACCGUUCUGGCUAUUACUCGAACUGGCAAACUCGAGAAUGGUAGAGGUAACUGGAAUUUCUUGUGUAGGAGUGAAAUCCGUAGAUAUAAGAAGGAACACCAAUGGCGUAGGCAGGUUACUGGACCAUUUCUGACACUGAGGCACGAAAGCGUGGGGAGCG